This 579-nucleotide ribosomal RNA is filed under the name uncultured archaeon. RNAcentral's name for it is "bacterial SSU rRNA". It matches the Rfam family "Archaeal small subunit ribosomal RNA", at positions 92 to 656 of the family's 1478-position model. The record is from RNAcentral.
AGUAACACGUAGCCAUCCUGCCCUCGAGACGAGAACAAUCUCGGGAAACUGAGGCUAAUGCUCGAUAGAUCAAGAUUCCUGGAAUGGGUUUUGGUCUAAAUGGGGUAACAGCAUCUUGUUAUUUCCGCUCGAGGAUGGGACUGCGACCGAUCAGGCUGUUGGUGGGGUAAAGGCCCACCAAACCAGUAACCGGUACGGGCAUUGAGAGAUGGAGCCCGGAGAUGGACACUGAGACAAGGGUCCAGGUCCUACGGGGCGCAGCAGGCGCGAAACCUUCGCAAUGCGCGAAAGCGCGACGAGGUUAUUCCGAGUGAUUUCCGCUGAGGAAGUCUUUUCUCAGAUCUAAAAAGUCUGGGGAAUAAGGGGAGGGCAAGUCUGGUGUCAGCCGCCGCGGUAAUACCAGCUCCUCGAGUGGUCAGGGCGUUUAUUGGGCCUAAAGCAUCCGUAGCCGGCUCAGUAGGUCUCCUGUUAAAUCCAACGGCUCAACCGUUGGUCUGCAGGAGAUACCGCUGGGCUAGGAGGCGGGAGAGGCGGACGGUACUCCGAGGGUAGGGGUAAAAUCCUUUGAUCCCCGGGAGA